GCCGAUAUAGCACAGCGGUAGUGCAACUGAUUUGUAAUCAGUAGGUCGGGGGUUCAAGUCCCUCUAUCGGCACCA
This 75-nucleotide transfer RNA is filed under the name Beggiatoa leptomitoformis. RNAcentral's name for it is "tRNA-Thr". It matches the Rfam family "tRNA". From Rfam's summary of the family: Transfer RNA (tRNA) molecules are approximately 80 nucleotides in length. Lineage: Bacteria; Pseudomonadati; Pseudomonadota; Gammaproteobacteria; Thiotrichales; Thiotrichaceae. The record is from RNAcentral.